Mus musculus (house mouse) is the source of this 1151-nucleotide long non-coding RNA. RefSeq annotates it as predicted gene, 26654. The record is from RefSeq and is a predicted model, not a curated record. NCBI's taxonomy places the organism in Eukaryota, Metazoa, Chordata, Mammalia, Rodentia, Muridae. The transcript is spliced from 3 exons.
CAAAACAAACUUGUGAAACAAAGGCACGGUUGCAGCAUGGUUAUUCCUUUUUGAAACGAAGCCCCAGAGAAUUAAGUUUUGCUCCCUUAGAGAAAAAAACUGCUGAGUAAGCUGCAGACUCCUCGAAUCCUCUUCAGAGCCAGACCUGUCGAAAAUGGCCAUCGGCAAUAACCGUGUAAACUGCUUCGAAAGACCAAAAACCUGCACACUCGCGGGUCUCCGCUAGUCUCAGCUCCCAAAAGGGUGGCUCCCACCUUGUCCUCCUCUCCCUUUUCCCCAUUGUCUUCCCUUUCCAAUGAACGCCUUUCCUACACUCAUCUCCCAGGUCCAAACCGGGACCGCUCAGUGGCUCCAGCACACACCUGGGGUGACCAGUCCCUCGUCGGUACCUGCUUAGGGUCUGCGAAGGACCGUACCCUAAAGCGUAAUAGGUUCCUUAUCGUAGUCCUUCUGGGCGUCCAGGCCGCGCCCUCGCCAGAGUGGUGCCCCUGGUGGCCACCGAUCCCCAAGUGACAGCGGGAUCUCAGCAUCGGAAGGCGCCAGCAGCACGCGCGCGGUUCAUUACGGUCACGCGAGCCCGGGAACCCGGCGCAGGACCUGCGGUCUGGUGACGCCAGUUCAACUUCCAACGGCUGCCCUCAGUAAGCGCCGUGACCAACCUCCAGGACUGAACGCUGCUCCCGGUGAGCCCUCGUUCACCAUCCAGCCAACCUACAGAUUUCUACAUCGUCUCUGUGGCGCAAUCGGUUAGCGCGUUCGGCUGUUAACCGAAAGGUUGGUGGUUCGAGCCCACCCAGGGACGAGCAUUUUAAUCUCCCCUUGCUAUUCCUUGCUAUUCUAAAACACUUCAAUGAUACUAAAACCAUUCCAAUACACUUUACCCUUCCCUCAAGGUCAAGGUGAACAGGGAAUAACUUCCCUCAUCUACCUGAAGUCCAAGCAAGCCUACAGUAGUAUCCUUUCUUCAGAUUCACUUACACAAGUGAAGCCUUACUGUUUAGUUUUUCAGACAAGGCCUAAAAUAACCCAGGCUGGUCAGGAAUUUGAGAGACAGUUGCUCACUGUGUAGCCUCGGCUGGACUGGGAUUCGCAGAGAUCAAGAGCUGCUGUCUCUUGAGUGCUAAAAUUAAAGGCAUGUACCACCAUACCCA